GUCUAGAAGAUCAUGGAUCAAGGUGACGUUGAUCUUCAGAAGAUCGACAAAAAGGAGAAUCUGGCCGACCCCUUCACUAAAGCACUGGUAAUAAAGGAGUUUGACAAUCACAAGUCGAAGAUGGGUAUUAGAUACUGUGCCGAGUGGCUUUAAGAUAAGUGGGAGUUGUUAGAAAAUUAUCCCAAAAGCCAAUCAUCAGUCUGU
Molecule: long non-coding RNA, 204 nt
Filed under: Elaeis guineensis (African oil palm)
Lineage: Eukaryota; Viridiplantae; Streptophyta; Magnoliopsida; Arecales; Arecaceae
Description: long non-coding RNA (EGUI_LNC037564)
Source: RNAcentral